Molecule: ribosomal RNA, 390 nt
Filed under: uncultured bacterium
Lineage: Bacteria
Description: bacterial SSU rRNA
Rfam family: Bacterial small subunit ribosomal RNA
Source: RNAcentral
GACGAACGCUGGCGGCGUGCCUAACACAUGCAAGUCGAGCGGGAACCUCAGGAGGGGUAACCCUUCUGAGGGGAGAGCGGCGAACGGGUGAGUAACACGUGGGCAACCUGCCCCGGACACCGGGAUAACCCAGGGAAACCUGAGCUAAUACCGGAUACUCCGGCGCGAUCGCAUGGUCGUGCCGGGAAAGCUCCGACGGUCCGGGAUGGGCCCGCGGCCUAUCAGCUUGUUGGUGGGGUAACGGCCCACCAAGGCGACGACGGGUAGCUGGUCUGAGAGGACGGCCAGCCACACUGGGACUGAGACACGGCCCAGACUCCUACGGGAGGCAGCAGUGGGGGAGUCUUGCGCUAAUGCGCGAAAGCGUGACGCAGCGACGCCGCGUGGGGA